AUACGUAGGGUGCGAGCGUUAAUCGGAAUUACUGGGCGUAAAGCGUGCGCAGGCGGUUGUGUAAGCCAGAUGUGAAAUCCCCGGGCUUAACCUGGGAACUGCGUUUGUGACUGUAGGACUCGAGUGUGGCAGAGGGGGGUGGAAUUCCACGUGUAGCAGUGAAAUGCGUAGAGAUGUGGAGGAACACCGAUGGCGAAGGCAGCCUCCUGGGCCAGCACUGACGCUCAUGCACGAAAGCGUGGGGAGCAAACAGGAUUAGAUACCCUGGUAGUCCACGCCCUAAACGAUGUCAACUGGUUGUUGGGGGUUUGACACUCUCAGUAACGAAGCUAACGCGUGAAGUUGACCGCCUGGGGAGUACGGCCGCAAGGUUAAAACUCAAAGGAAUUGACGGGGACCCGCACAAGCGGUGGAUGAUGUGGAUUAAUUCGAUGCAACGCGAAAAACCUUACCUACCCUUGACAUGUCAGGAAGUCCGCUGAGAGGUGGAUGUGCCCGAAAGGGAACCUGAACACAGGUGCUGCAUGGCUGUCGUCAGCUCGUGUCGUGAGAUGUUGGGUUAAGUCCCGCAACGAGCGCAACCCUUGUCAUUAAUUGCCAUCAUUCAGUUGGGCACUUUAAUGAGACUGCCGGUGACAAACCGGAGGAAGGUGGGGAUGACGUCAAGUCCUCAUGGCCCUUAUGGGUAGGGCUUCACACGUCAUACAAUGGUCGGUACAGAGGGUUGCCAACCCGCGAGGGGGAGCCAAUCCCACAAAGCCGAUCGUAGUCCGGAUCGCAGUCUGCAACUCGACUGCGUGAAGUCGGAAUCGCUAGUAAUCGUGGAUCAGCAUGUCACGGUGAAUACGUUCCCGGGUCUUGUACACACCGCCCGUCACACCAUGGGAGUGGGUUCCACCAGAAGUAGGUAGUCUAACCGCAAGGGGGGCGCUUACCACGGUGGGAUUCAUGACUGGGGUGAAGUCGUAACAAGGUAGCCGUAUCGGAAGGUGCGGCUG
Molecule: ribosomal RNA, 998 nt
Filed under: alkali sediment metagenome
Description: bacterial SSU rRNA
Rfam family: Bacterial small subunit ribosomal RNA
Source: RNAcentral